Molecule: non-coding RNA, 21 nt
Filed under: Arabidopsis thaliana (thale cress)
Lineage: Eukaryota; Viridiplantae; Streptophyta; Magnoliopsida; Brassicales; Brassicaceae
Source: RNAcentral
UAACCGUAUCAGUGAUGUGUU